CCCUUAGAUGUUCUGGGCUGCACGCGUGCUACAAUGGCGCUUGCAACAAGUCUUGCCAACCCGAUAGGGUGAGCGGAUCUUUGAAGAGGCGUCGUGAUCGGGACAGUUGAUUGCAAUUAUUCGACUCGAACGAGGAAUUCCUUGUAAUCGCGAUUCAUCAUAUCGCGCUGAAUACGUCCCUGCCCUUUGUACACACCGCCCGUCGCUCCUACCGAUUGAGCGAUCCGGUGAAUGUUUUGGACUGGCGUCAGAAGCGGUUCGCUCCUGACACUACGAAGUUUUGUAAACCUUAUCGCUUAGAGGAAGGAAAAGUCGUAACA
RNAcentral lists this ribosomal RNA (320 nucleotides) under uncultured eukaryote. Its description in RNAcentral is "partial 18S ribosomal RNA". It matches the Rfam family "Eukaryotic small subunit ribosomal RNA", at positions 1470 to 1796 of the family's 1831-position model. The record is from RNAcentral.